GCAAGUCGAGCGGAACGAUCCUAGCUUGCUAGGAGGCGUCGAGCGGCGGACGGGUGAGUAACGCGUGAGAAUCUACCCAUGAGUGGGGGACAACCCGGGGAAACUCGGGCUAAUACCGCAUACGCCCUACGGGGUAAAGCAGGGGACCUUCGGGCCUUGCGCUGAUGGAUGAGCUCGCGUCGGAUUAGCUUGUUGGUGAGGUAAAGGCUCACCAAGGCGACGAUCCGUAGCUGGUCUGAGAGGAUGAUCAGCCACACCGGGACUGAGACACGGCCCGGACUCCUACGGGAGGCAGCAGUGGGGAAUCUUGGACAAUGGGGGCAACCCUGAUCCAGCCAUGCCGCGUGUGUGAAGAAGGCCUUCGGGUUGUAAAGCACUUUCAGCAGGGAGGAAGGCUUACCCCUAAUACGGGUGAGUACUUGACGUUACCUGCAGAAGAAGCACCGGCUAAUUUCGUGCCAGCAGCCGCGGUAAUACGAAAGGUGCAAGCGUUAAUCGGAAUUACUGGGCGUAAAGCGCGCGUAGGCGGUGUGUUAAGUCGGAUGUGAAAGCCCAGGGCUCAACCUUGGAAUUGCAUCCGAUACUGGCACGCUAGAGUGCAGUAGAGGGAGGUGGAAUUUCCGGUGUAGCGGUGAAAUGCGUAGAGAUCGGAAGGAACACCAGUGGCGAAGGCGGCCUCCUGGACUGACACUGACGUGGAAGUCCGGAAAGCGUGGGGAGCAAACAGGAUUAGAUACCCUGGUAGUCCACGCUGUAAACGAUGUCUACUAGCCGUCGGGGUCCUUAGUGACUUUGGUGGCGCAGCUAACGCGAUAAGUAGACCGCCUGGGGAGUACGGCCGCAAGGUUAAAACUCAAUGAAUUGACGGGGGCCCGCACAAGCGGU
RNAcentral lists this ribosomal RNA (885 nucleotides) under Alcanivorax sp. A5. RNAcentral's name for it is "bacterial SSU rRNA". It matches the Rfam family "Bacterial small subunit ribosomal RNA", at positions 57 to 933 of the family's 1533-position model. Lineage: Bacteria; Pseudomonadati; Pseudomonadota; Gammaproteobacteria; Oceanospirillales; Alcanivoracaceae. The record is from RNAcentral.